GGAAGGUGCACUUGGAAAAAC
RNAcentral lists this ribosomal RNA (21 nucleotides) under Mugil cephalus (flathead mullet). RNAcentral's name for it is "partial 12S small subunit ribosomal RNA". The record is from RNAcentral. Lineage: Eukaryota; Metazoa; Chordata; Actinopteri; Mugiliformes; Mugilidae.